GAUAAAAGGAUAAACAUUUUAGUACAUUUUAUAUUAUAUAAAUAAUACUCAUAAUUCAGUGAUACCAUACUAAUACAAGUAAAAGCGCACAAAUAUUACUAAGACGGAAAGAGACACAAGCAAAUUGAUCGAAGGAAACCAGCAUUUCUAUUCCUUCGUUGUGGAGCCGUUUUCGAAGAAUCGAACGCUCUGCGAUAAUAUUUUUUAAAAGUUCGUAUAAUAUAAUCCAUGAGAUACUACUUACAGCUUGGCUAGUGUUUUGUUUGCAUCCUCGUCCCCAUAAUCUCCCACAGUCUCAUCAGAACCAAGCGAAUUCAGUAGCUCCACAAACAGUGUUUUUCUACAUGCAGCGUACGUUUUUCCAUCCCAAUUUCUGCUCACCAAUUCUUCACUCAACUUAAUUGCUGCCUCCACAGUUUCUUCCGCUCCACUAUGAGCCGAAUCCACAAAACCCAUUUCGACUCCCAUCUCAGCCGUUACUUUAGCAGCCUUCAUCACCACCUCACGCCGGACCGCUGGCGAUCCCAUUCUGCACUUCACUAAAGCCGAAAACCAAGUCGGUAUCGGAAACCCAAUAUCCAGCUCGCUCAUGUAGAGAAACCCUCGAUCUUUGCGCAUCAAGAUGUAGUCAUGGCAAAGCGCGAAAACGAAGCCGGCAGCGGAAGCGUGACCGGUGACGGCGGCGAUUGUUGGCAUAGGUAGGGUUAUUAGGUCGGAAACGAGACAUCGGAGUUUUCUGGACAUGAGUUUUUGGCGGGCGUUGUCCACUAAGGCCCACUUAAGAUCGUAACCAUUGGAGAAGUAUUUGCCUUGGGCUGUGGUAAUCAGAGCGGAGGAAGAGGAAGUAGAGUCGGAUCUGACGCGGCGGAGAGCGGCAGAGAUGGAGUCGAUAAGGUUGGGAUGUAAACGGUGGUCACCGGUGCCGGUUAAAAUUAGGAGGAAGAUAUUGCCUCUCUUUUCUAAUGUGCAAAGCCCUUCUGAUUCCAUUCUGUGGAUGGAAGAGAAAGUGGCUAAACAGUAUCACAGUAUUAAUUUAUCUCCUCUCUUAAUUCUUACUUUGUCAUAUUUUGAUUUUCAGUUAAAUUAUAUAAAUCAAAAUUAUCUUGAAA
Molecule: unclassified non-coding RNA, 1109 nt
Filed under: Hevea brasiliensis (rubber tree)
Lineage: Eukaryota; Viridiplantae; Streptophyta; Magnoliopsida; Malpighiales; Euphorbiaceae
Source: RNAcentral